This 90-nucleotide microRNA precursor is filed under the name Chlorocebus sabaeus (green monkey). RNAcentral's name for it is "miRNA (ENSCSAG00000023567.1)". Lineage: Eukaryota; Metazoa; Chordata; Mammalia; Primates; Cercopithecidae. The record is from RNAcentral.
UCUUGUGUGUGUGACCCCUCACCUCCCGCAGGCCGUGCUGCACAUGGAGCAGCGAAAGCAGCAGCAGCAGCAGCAGCAGCAGCAGCAGCA